GAUGAAGAACGUAGCGAAAUGCGAUAAGUAAUGUGAAUUGCAGAAUUCCGUGAAUCAUCGAGUCUUUGAACGCACAUUGCGCCCCCUGGUAUUCCGGGGGGCAUGCCUGUCCGAGCGUCAUUGCUGCCCUCAAGCACGGCUUGUGUGUUGGGCCUCCGUCCUCCUCCCGGGGGACGGGCCCGAAAGGCAGCGGCGGCACCGCGUCCGGUCCUCGAGCGUAUGGGGCUUCGUCACCCGCUCUUGUAGGCCCGGCCGGCGCUUGCCGACACAUCAAUCUUUUUUCCAGGUUAACCUCGGAUCAGGUAGGGAUACCCGCUGAACUUAAGCAUAUCAAUAAGCGGAGGA
This 345-nucleotide unclassified non-coding RNA is filed under the name soil metagenome. RNAcentral describes it as "partial contains 5.8S ribosomal RNA, internal transcribed spacer 2, and large subunit ribosomal RNA". The stretch from base 1 to 120 matches the Rfam family "5.8S ribosomal RNA", at positions 35 to 154 of the family's 154-position model. The record is from RNAcentral.